This 644-nucleotide ribosomal RNA is filed under the name uncultured bacterium. RNAcentral describes it as "bacterial SSU rRNA". It matches the Rfam family "Bacterial small subunit ribosomal RNA", at positions 56 to 692 of the family's 1533-position model. The record is from RNAcentral.
UGCAGUCGAGCGGUAACAGGGGAGCUUGCUCCUGCUGACGAGCGGCGGACGGGUGAGUAACGCGUAGGAAUCUACCUAGUAGAGGGGGACAACAUGUGGAAACGCAUGCUAAUACCGCAUACGCCCUAAGGGGGAAAGGAGGGGACUUUUCGGAGCCUUCCGCUAUUAGAUGAGCCUGCGUAAGAUUAGCUAGUUGGUAGGGUAAAGGCCUACCAAGGCGACGAUCUUUAACUGAUCUGAGAGGAUGGCCAGUCACACUGGGACUGAGACACGGCCCAGACUCCUACGGGAGGCAGCAGUGGGGAAUAUUGGACAAUGGGCGGAAGCCUGAUCCAGCCAUGCCGCGUGUGUGAAGAAGGCCUUAGGGUUGUAAAGCACUUUCAGGGGUGAGGAAGGGUAGCUAGUUAAUACCUAGUUAUCUUGACGUUAGCCCCAGAAGAAGCACCGGCUAACUCUGUGCCAGCAGCCGCGGUAAUACAGAGGGUGCAAGCGUUAAUCGGAAUUACUGGGCGUAAAGCGCGCGUAGGUGGUUUGUUAAGUCGGAUGUGAAAUCCCAGGGCUCAACCUUGGAAUGGCACCCGAUACUGGCAGGCUAGAGUAUGGUAGAGGGGUGUGGAAUUUCCUGUGUAGCGGUGAAAUGCGUA